This 120-nucleotide ribosomal RNA is filed under the name Mus caroli (Ryukyu mouse). Lineage: Eukaryota; Metazoa; Chordata; Mammalia; Rodentia; Muridae. The record is from RNAcentral.
UGAGACAUAACAUACCACCCAGAAAGCGCCCAAUCUCUUCUGAUCUCAGAAGCUAAGCAGGGUCGGGCCUGGUUAGUACUUGGAUGGGAGACAUAAUAAUAAAGGCAGGAUUUAUUUUAA